Molecule: ribosomal RNA, 1352 nt
Filed under: uncultured bacterium
Lineage: Bacteria
Description: bacterial SSU rRNA
Rfam family: Bacterial small subunit ribosomal RNA
Source: RNAcentral
AUUGAACGCUGGCGGCAUGCCUUACACAUGCAAGUCGAACGGCAGCACGGAGCUUGCUCUGGUGGCGAGUGGCGAACGGGUGAGUAAUAUAUCGGAACGUACCCUAGAGUGGGGGAUAACGUAGCGAAAGUUACGCUAAUACCGCAUACGAUCUAAGGAUGAAAGUGGGGGAUCGCAAGACCUCAUGCUCGUGGAGCGGCCGAUAUCUGAUUAGCUAGUUGGUAGGGUAAAAGCCUACCAAGGCAUCGAUCAGUAGCUGGUCUGAGAGGACGACCAGCCACACUGGAACUGAGACACGGUCCAGACUCCUACGGGAGGCAGCAGUGGGGAAUUUUGGACAAUGGGCGAAAGCCUGAUCCAGCAAUGCCGCGUGAGUGAAGAAGGCCUUCGGGCUGUAAAGCUCUUUUGUCAGGGAAGAAACGGUGGGAGCUAAUAUCUCUUGCUAAUGACGGUACCUGAAGAAUAAGCACCGGCUAACUACGUGCCAGCAGCCGCGGUAAUACGUAGGGUGCAAGCGUUAAUCGGAAUUACUGGGCGUAAAGCGCGCGCAGGCGGUUUUGUAAGUCUGAUGUGAAAUCCCCGGGCUCAACCUGGGAAUUGCAUUGGAGACUGCAAGGCUAGAAUCUGGCAGAGGGGGGUAGAAUUCCACGUGUAGCAGUGAAAUGCGUAGAUAUGUGGAGGAACACCGAUGGCGAAGGCAGCCCCCUGGGUCAAGAUUGACGCUCAUGCACGAAAGCGUGGGGAGCAAACAGGAUUAGAUACCCUGGUAGUCCACGCCCUAAACGAUGUCUACUAGUUGUCGGGUCUUAAUUGACUUGGUAACGCAGCUAACGCGUGAAGUAGACCGCCUGGGGAGUACGGUCGCAAGAUUAAAACUCAAAGGAAUUGACGGGGACCCGCACAAGCGGUGGAUGAUGUGGAUUAAUUCGAUGCAACGCGAAAAACCUUACCUACCCUUGACAUGGCUGGAAUCCUUGAGAGAUCAGGGAGUGCUCGAAAGAGAACCAGUACACAGGUGCUGCAUGGCUGUCGUCAGCUCGUGUCGUGAGAUGUUGGGUUAAGUCCCGCAACGAGCGCAACCCUUGUCAUUAGUUGCUACGAAAGGGCACUCUAAUGAGACUGCCGGUGACAAACCGGAGGAAGGUGGGGAUGACGUCAAGUCCUCAUGGCCCUUAUGGGUAGGGCUUCACACGUCAUACAAUGGUACAUACAGAGCGCCGCCAACCCGCGAGGGGGAGCUAAUCGCAGAAAGUGUAUCGUAGUCCGGAUUGUAGUCUGCAACUCGACUGCAUGAAGUUGGAAUCGCUAGUAAUCGCGGAUCAGCAUGUCGCGGUGAAUACGUUCCCGGGUCU